AGUAGUUUGGAAGAUAUGGUUUAAUGCAGAUUCCGCCGAACAUAUACAGGCUAUAUGAAAAAUAAUUACUGUUAAAUGUGUCCCCUGUUCUGUAGUUUAAAACUACUGAACGAUGUCUUUGUGCACCAAAUACCGGCCAGAUGGCACCGUGUAGAAAAGUCAAAACAGUGUCUGUGAGUUAAAAUGGCUGCCAUCCAUUGUUCUCACCAUGUGCUUCAUCCAUUGUUCUCACCAUGUGCCUCUGAUACAUGAAAUGGUGGCCACCCAGUAACUCCCCAGUAUGUCGCCAGAUGGUUCUUAAAGGGCCAGCAUCAGCAUAAUAAAAUACAGUAUGCCCAAAUCAGUUCCUUAAAGGGAAAUACAUCCCAGGGCCAUAGUUGCAGGGCAGGAGGCUUGCAAGCAGGCCUCUCCAGGACCAAGUGGCGAAGGGCACUUCGUCACAACAACACUCAGCAAUAUACAAAGACAUACCAAAUUAAAAGGACCCAUAUAUUUGUGUGACAGGUGACCGUUGGGGACAUCACUGUAGUACCUGGAAACCGGUGGGUUGGAAUACGGGCCGACCAUGGGGCUACAGACCACAAAGUGCCUUAGAUAGAGUUGACAGAUAUGGGAAACCCUUGUUAUACAGAAUGACCUUGUGCAAGCCAACGGGGUGUACCCCAAUGAAGCUAACCUUAAACAUAGAACAUCCCAGCCCAGGAGACGCUGGGGAAUACAUAAUGGUAAUGUAAUGGAAAGGAGGUGGCUCAUAUAACAAGUUGGGGACCUUCUAUUUACAAGACAUGCUUACAUCACCUGACUGGGUAGACUCCACACACAUGACCAUUAACCCUCUAAAACCACACAUUAAAACCCUUAAAGACAUGGUAGCCAUUGCCAAUCCCACAUUUGAAGACACUAUGGCUGUGGAGCCCGGAUUUUCAGAUACUAAUCUAUGGCUUGAAUGGAUGAGGUAUAAUGCUAAUUCACACAACAAAACUAACUGUUAUGCUUGUGGUGGGGCCAGGCCCUAUCUGGGUACAGUGCUUUUAAAUCUAACCCCCGAUGUUGAGAUGUGUUUCUUAAGCCUCUAUGCGCAGACAGCAGUAAACUCAUCAGUGUGUGAGUCAUGGAAAAAGGUUUACCCAAUAACCCAAGGGAAUACCAAGCCACCUGAUGGAAUCACCGUGUACCCAGGUAACUACACUUGCUAUACAAUACAUGGAGCCACAGGUAAAUUUGUAGGUAAAUUCCCUUCUGGCUACUGUACCACUUAUCGAGAACCUCCCACUGCCCUAUUAGUAAAUCAAGUUAAGUCCGUGGGAGACAUUUAUUGGCUAUGUGGUGACAUGCAGCUUAGAUCAAAAAUGACUGGCCAAUGGUGGGGAGAAUGUGCUCUGACCAAAGUUAUCAUGCCCAUACAUAUAAUUUCUGAUAACCACCAAGGCCCACACGAUUCACCACAUACGUAUCUUAGAGUAAAAAGAGAAACCCCCCAUUCAAGGUAGUUUCGACCCACACAUAUAUAUCGAUACCACUGGAGUACCAAGGGGGGAACCAAAUGAGUUCAAGGCCAGAGAUGAAGUGGCGGCGGGAUUCAAAUCCUUGAUCCCACUCAUCACCGCUAACAAGAAUGUUAACUGGAUCAAUUAUAUCUUCUAUAACCAGCAACGAUUUGUCAUGGCAGAACAAUUACAGACUACCUCCCAAAUGACAUUUCAGAAUCGAAUGGCCUUAGACAUGAUCCUAGCAGAAAAGGGGGGCAUGUGUAAAAUACUCCCCGAUACUAUGACAUGCUGUACCUUCAUCCCAGACAACACAGGCCCAGGGUCAGUUAGUAGUUGUCUCUUUCUUUCUCUCUCUCUCUCUCUUUUGUAAAUAGUCAUUUUAAGGGGGGACUGUUGUGGACAAAAAUAUUAACCCAACCCAUGUUAGUAAAAUGCCUAUUUACUCAACAUAACUAUAAUCAGCAUUAUUCAACUUUCUAUGUGAUUUACCUAAAAUGGCCGCUAGGGAGUUUCCCUGUGACAUUGACUAACACCUUCAUUAACAAAAUGGCGCUGGAAUCUGGGGGAGACCUCCAAGAUACCAGUGACAUCAUACCCGGUAGGCAGAGCACUAAAUGAACCACUUAACACCUAACCAAUUAUUGAUGUAUUAUUCCAUGUUAUCUCUGACAAUGCAUAUGAUGUAAUUUUGCUUUAUAAGGGACAUGCCGUCCCCCCAGAAUAAACAUUCCUCAAGUUUUUCAUUAACCAGAAGCCUGUGUCUGGUGUGAAUUACUUUAGGAGCGUGCACGCACUACUUCUUUAAUUUGGCCGGGGGCAGAUACGCAAG
This 2319-nucleotide long non-coding RNA is filed under the name Pelobates cultripes (western spadefoot toad). Lineage: Eukaryota; Metazoa; Chordata; Amphibia; Anura; Pelobatidae. The record is from RNAcentral.